Molecule: long non-coding RNA, 685 nt
Organism: Astatotilapia calliptera (eastern happy)
Lineage: Eukaryota; Metazoa; Chordata; Actinopteri; Cichliformes; Cichlidae
Source: Ensembl
CUCACCAGUGACUGUGCUCCACGCAGAUCUGUCAACUACAACACAGAGAUACUUCCACUCACCGCAGCUUCUCCUCUCGCCAACCUCCCUGAUGAUGAUGUGGCCCCGCUAAUGGACACACUGUGUGAAGGCUCAGGAGUCCAACUGACACCCGAGAUGAUCAGAGCAGAAUUCUUGUGUGGAGAAGUUCUCGUCUCCAUUAGCAACCUCGACGCAGGAAAGACAACCGUGCACCAGAGGCAGCAUCACAUUGAGGCGACCUACAGGUCUGAGUUUAACCAGAUGGGAAAAAGAGUGAUGACUAGACUGAAGCAACUUGGAGUCACUGACAGAACUUCUCAUUUACCUGAAGAAGACCGUGAAAAGCCGAAGCCUGUGCACACACAUCCUAUACACUCACAUGAGUAAACACCACUGCAAGACUACAGAUAAGCAUUAUACCCAUCCUACUCACUCAUACAACACUCUCCUUUGUUGGCCCUGACAUGUCUUUGAAAUAAAACCUGGUUACUUUCCCACCCACUCAUAAGCCUCCUUUCUACCCACUCAAAAUUACCAGUGAGCUCCCCUACUGUGCUUUUACAAAGCCUGAAAAUUUGUUAUCCCUCCACCUACUCAGAUUCAUAUAUAAGCAUGGCUGCAUUUUACACACCAUUACCUACAUUAAAUGAAAUAUGAUCGUUCU